Molecule: RNase P RNA, 381 nt
Filed under: Candidatus Pelagibacter sp.
Lineage: Bacteria; Pseudomonadati; Pseudomonadota; Alphaproteobacteria; Candidatus Pelagibacterales; Candidatus Pelagibacteraceae
Also listed under: 1 other name
Description: RNase P RNA component class A
Rfam family: Bacterial RNase P class A
About the family: Ribonuclease P (RNase P) is a ubiquitous endoribonuclease, found in archaea, bacteria and eukarya as well as chloroplasts and mitochondria. Its best characterised activity is the generation of mature 5'-ends of tRNAs by cleaving the 5'-leader elements of precursor-tRNAs.
Source: RNAcentral
GGAUCAGGUUAUCGCUUUUUUUUGAAAGAGGAAAGUCCGGGCUUCAAAUAAACAAAGUGCCGGUUAAUGGCCGGCGCGCAGACAAACCUGCGUAGGGAAAGUGCCACAGAAAUUAUACCGCCUAUGCAAAUAGGUAAGGGUGAAAUGGUGCGGUAAGAGCGCACCGCACGGAUGGUAACAUGCGUGGCAGGGUAAACCCCACUUGAAGCAAGACCAAAUAGGAACAGUGCUGAUUUUAUCACAAAGUGUUUGUUCUUUGAUGCUGUUCGGGUAGGUUGCUCGAGGUUGUGUGUAAAUGCAAUCCUAGAUGAAUGAUAGCCUCGGUUGAAAGAUAGGUACAUAUCUUUUGAUCUAGACAGAACCCGGCUUAUCGAUCCUGAU